GUAGAAAAGGUGGUGAUUCGCAUUGCAAGUCGUGUAGCUAAAGUUUCAUUCGACGCUUAAAUACGGGAAAUUAAUUAUAUCCAUAUAGUUACGUUGGUCCUAUUCGAAGCCAGGCUAAUUAUUUCUACUACUCUACUCCACGUUGGUUGCCUUCUGCAACAGAUCAAAGCAUCGAUCGUAUACUCGCAGUAAUUCAGCAUAAAGAUAGUGAUCAAGCAAUCAGGCG
Long non-coding RNA from Uranotaenia lowii, 226 nucleotides. RefSeq lists it as uncharacterized. The transcript has 3 exons. Lineage: Eukaryota; Metazoa; Arthropoda; Insecta; Diptera; Culicidae. The record is from RefSeq and is a predicted model, not a curated record.